CCUACGGGUGGCAGCAGUGAGGAAUAUUGGUCAAUGGCCGAGAGGCUGAACCAGCCAAGUCGCGUGAGGGAAGACGGCCCUACGGGCUGUAAACCUCUUUUGUCGGGGAGCAAAGCGAACCACGUGUGGUUCAUUGAGAGUACCCGAAGAAAAAGCAUCGGUUAACACCGGGCCAGCAGCCGGGGUAAAACGGAGGAUGCGAGCGUUAUCCGGAUUUAUUGGGUUUAAGGGGUGCGCAGGCGGAGGUGCAAGUCAGCGGUCAAAUUGCGGGGCUCAACCCCGGACUGCCGUUGAAACUGCAUGCCUGGAGUGCGCGAGAGGUAUGCGGAAUGCGUGGUGUAGCGGUGAAAUGCAUAGAUAUCACGCAGAACUCCGAUUGCGAAGGCAGCAUACCGGAGCGCAACUGACGCUCAUGCACGAAAGCGUGGGUAUCGAACAGGAUUAGAUACCCGUGUAGUC
RNAcentral lists this ribosomal RNA (459 nucleotides) under uncultured bacterium. Its description in RNAcentral is "partial 16S ribosomal RNA". It matches the Rfam family "Bacterial small subunit ribosomal RNA", at positions 338 to 795 of the family's 1533-position model. The record is from RNAcentral.